CAGCCAUCCACAGCCCAUCCUCUGAACCCUGUCCUUAUCCAACGCUCACGCAAGCCAAUAUCCGCCCCCUGCCCUGAAGCCGCGUGGAGGGGACACGGCAUGGGGGUGGAGGGUGGGGGGGCGGCUGGGGGAGAAGGGCUGAGCCUGGAGACCGCGUCCUCAGCCUGUUUCAGGGUUCUUCUGGGAGCAGUCUCCAGCCCUCUAUGUGCCUGCCCUCCCUUGAGGAGGAGGCCACAAGGCCUUAUUCUCACGUGACAGGGAGGCCUCAGAGCUGCCAUGGGGGUCUCAGUCGUUGCGAUGAGGCCCGAUGAUGCCAGGAAGGGCCAGCUGAACCACCAGCACCUUCAACCACCUGCCAGGUUGUAGGGUUCCCAGCCAGCAGACCCUGGCCGCUAGGAUGGCAAUCUCUGCAGUUACGCCUGGAUUUGACCCCCAGCUCCAAAUGUGGCUGUUCCACUGAUGGGCUGUGUGUCUUCAUGGAUGAACCACUCCGUUUCUCCACAAGUGUGUCCGGGUGGACCUCCUCUGCCCGUUCAAAACAUUCUGUGACCGCUUGUUUCCUGAGGCUCCUGCAGCAGAACCCCCUCCUCUCCCACACUCAGCGCUCACAGCUGAGCCGGGAGUGGAACUCUGUGGAAUAUGCUGGAAUCCCAAACUGAGGGGAAAGAGCCCACAGAAACUGGAGAGGACAGCUGUGCCUUGUGAGUUCUCCUCCCUCAUAGGGUCCAUCUACUAAUCAAGACACGGGGGUGGUGAGGGCCUGGAGUGCCUGGGUUUGCACCUUCACGGAACAAGCAUUAAUUGAGGGCUCUGUAACGACACACAGCAUGCUCUGCAUGGGGUUACAGCAACGAGCCUGUCAGAUGAGGACCCUGCAAUCCAGCAGCUCCAGUGAGGUAUUUUCAGACCUCAGGGCCUCCAGAGCAACAAGCCCUUUCCCAAGCAGCUACUGAAGGACAAUCUCCACCUAAACAAAAAUGUGAACCAAUGGUGAGGAGGACAUGGACAGUGAGGAGUAUCUCAGCUACCCUGGGGUCUGACGAGAGCCACGCAGGGGUGAGGGCUUCAGCUUCCCUGCAGCCCACACCAGGCCAUGCGGGGUCAAGGUUCUGCACACUCGGAGCAAAGCAAUGAAGCAGGUCUGUACCGUCCAGGCCCUGCCACCCCAUCCACAGGGCUGGCAUCUCUGACACCCUGAGAUGGACACCAUCCAUGACAGGGGUGGAGGGGGACACAAUGAGGGCACCCAGAGAUCUCACUGGCUCUGGGACAAACAGGCCCAGCCUGGCAGUGAAACUGGGCUCAGUAUGUCCCUCUAUCCAAACCCUAACCCUCAUCUUGGAAAUCCCCAAGAACUGGAACCCAAACCUUGGAAAUUCCUUACAGUAGGGGGAGCAGGAACUCAGUGCCAAGGUGGGGGUAGCGGGGCUCAGUCUGUUCCCUCGUGCGCUGGAACACGCCACCUGGCUCUGAAGGCUCUGCCACGCUGUGACAAGGGAUCAUUUCAGGUGCAGGAUCUCGACUUCUCUCCUCAGUGGGCAGGGGUCUGCAACAGCUCUCCCACGUCCCUUAUACUCAGGGCGACCCUCUCUCCCACGGUUCUCUCAUCAGGUCUAGGUUAGAGUUCCUCCUGAAGCCAUUCUGGAUGUGGCUGAAUCAUCUCUCCAGGCCGAGUUUGCUCCUGGCCAGGGUAAAAAAAUAAAAAAUAAAAAAGGAACAAAGCUCCAACACACGCUAUAAUGUGGGUGAAACUUGACAACAUCACACUAACGAAAAAAGACACCAAAGGCCACAUGUCCUACGAUUGUCUUCAUACAAAAUGCCAAGAAAAGGCAAAUCCGUGCACACAGCAGAUGGGAAGAGAGGAGAGACUGGUGAAGACAGCACAGCUCUGUGAAUAUACUGAAAACCAGUGAGUUGUACAUUCUGAAAGGGUGGAUUCUAUGGUAUGUGAACAUCUCAGUUUAAAAAAAGAGAGACUUUUGAACAGAUCAUUUCUGAAACCAAAGAGAAGUAGCAAAAGGCUAGCAGAAGAGAAAAACCACCACAGGAAAUCACUUGAGAAACAUCACCCCAAAGUCUCAGUUCCCCUUGCGAUAAAGGGCCUCUGAAAUGCUCUCAGACUAACUCUUCCCAUCACACUACCCUCUCCACCCAGUGGGCACCCCCCCCACACACACACACACACACCCGUGGGGCCCUCAGCUCUUCCUCUGGCCCCACCCAGGAGCCCAGACUGGAUUUGUAUAGUGGAAUCCCCACUGCUGGAUAAAAAUACACACGCUGAGGGAAGUAGGGAGGGUUCACAGUGGGCUUGCCACUUCCGCAUGGGCUUCAGCUCCUGGCACUGAGCCAGUGCCAGGGGUAGCAAAGUGAGCACACCCAAUUUCCAAUGAACUCAGUGAAGCUCUUCCACAAGGGCCCACACCGCACCACAAACACCCUCCCCUGUGCCCCUCAGGAAUGAAGCCCUGAAGCCCAAGACCAAGUUCAGUGAGACCCAUGCAUUUGGAAGAAUACAGAUGGAGCUGUUUUCCUGC
Long non-coding RNA from Mustela erminea (ermine), 2540 nucleotides. RefSeq lists it as uncharacterized. The record is from RefSeq and is a predicted model, not a curated record. NCBI's taxonomy places the organism in Eukaryota, Metazoa, Chordata, Mammalia, Carnivora, Mustelidae. The transcript is spliced from 2 exons.